Molecule: long non-coding RNA, 3231 nt
Filed under: Mus musculus (house mouse)
Lineage: Eukaryota; Metazoa; Chordata; Mammalia; Rodentia; Muridae
Description: predicted gene, 31614
Source: RNAcentral
GGCCUUCUGUCUCAUGCCUGGAAGGGAAGGAACCAGACAUCUUCAUUCUAGAAGUCUGGAGUGGGGAGGGAAGAGGAUGAGGAGUGGGAGGGAGGAGGGAGUGUUGAAAUAAGGGAGGAAGAAGGAAGGGUAGAGGGGGAGGAGAGGGUGGAAAAGGGAGGAGAAGGAACAGGCAGAGGGCAGCCUGGAGGUCUCAGGAGCCAGCACCAAGACCUGAUACUGCAUAAGAAGCUAAAAAUACUGGGCUUCCUCCCCACUGCUGUCUCAAUGUCGUUUUUGUUGUUGUUGUUGUUGUUGUUGUUGUUUUUGGGUUUUUUUUUUUUUUAAAUAAGGCAGCCUCUUUCUAGUUCUCCCCUUCCACUGUCAUUUAUUUCAGUUUUUAUCUCCACAACAAAAAUUCCUUCCAACUUUCCCCCCUUGUCUCCCUCUAAUGCUCUUCACUCUCAAAUGCUAAUAACCUCCAGCUGCAAACGGCUUAGAAGUGGCUCUAGAUUGUUUGAUCUUUGGCCUGUGAUCUGCUUUCAUCUCUCUGCUUUCAAAUGUUACUUUAGAUUUACUUUAACCUAUUAACAUGCUUGGUAUUCAUAGACACGCACACUCCAAAGCAGCUUCCAAGCGCCUCAACCCCCUCCCCAUUUUAGCCAGGCAGGAAACUGGAACUCCCAACGCAGAGUAGACCGGAACUUUCCAGUGCUGGAUGGAGGAGGAGGCCCGAAAGGCAGAAGACUGUGUCUGAGGAGGCUCUGCAGGAGAAUGGUGGGAAGGGAAGGACAGGAGGAAGAGAUGAAGGAUUGCAGAGAAGAAAACAGAGAAGAGAAGGAAACGAGAGAGGCAUGAAUAUGGAUGAAACUCCUCACCGAGACCACAAGGGACAGUUCCGAGCACCAUGGUCAGAAUCCAGAUGUGCCUGUUCCGGGCCCCAGUGAAUGCCCAGCUUCUGUUCUCUACAGUAUGAGGUCUCCUACCUCUCACUUAAAAGAUGGUACUGCAGGCCAGGAAGAGCAAGUCUCCAUCACUGUAGUGGCUCUAGGCCAAAUCUCCAAAUGAAAUCAGGCUGGGGAGAAAUGAACAAGUGAGAUGCAGAAAACAAUGUGAAGAAGAAACUCUGAAGAUUCGAAUAAUAAUAGAAAAAAAAGGCUGUCCUCUUCUCUCUGUGGGCUAAGGGGACAGGUCCUGGAGCAAAGCCGAGCCCAGAGUCUGCUGCACCGCGCAGCAGAGCACAUUCAUGAGGAAAGAGUGUGUCUUCUUCAGGGUGGCCGCUCCAAAUUCUCCAGGAUAUAGAUUCAGGAGGGGCUCCGGCCAUUGUUGAGAGUAAAAGCAUUGCUAUUUGCUGCUGUUCCAGGGAACCCUCUCAAGGGAGAGUGUGAAGGUCUUGCCUAGAGGUAUUUCUGCUGCUCUCUCCUUCUGUCACCUCCUACUCAAGGCAUGCACACACUCACACAUGCAAUAUGCACAAACACAUGUGUAAGGUCUUCAAACAUAUCCACGCACAUAUACCCAUACCCCCUGUCUUAGUCAGGGUUUCUAUUCCUGCACAACAUCAUGACCAAGAAGCAAGUUGGGGAGGAAAGGGUUUAUUCAGCUUACAUUUCCACACUGUUGUUCAUCACCAAGGAAGUCAGGACUGGAACUCAAGCAGGUCAGGAAGCAGGAGCUGAUGCAGAGGCCAUGGAGGGAUGUUCUUUACUGGCUUGCUUCUCCUGGCUUGCCCUGCCUGCUCUCUUAUAGAACCAAGACUACCAGCCCAGUGAUGGUUCCACCCACAAGGGGCCUUUCCCCCUUGAUCACUAAUUGAGGAAAUGCCUUACAGUUGGAUCUCAUGGAGGCAUUUCCUCAACUGAAGCUCCUUUCUCUGUGAUAACUCCAGCUGUGUCAAGUUGACACAAAACUAGCCAGUACAGCCCCCUUAAACACUCAAACUCCCCUGUGUGUGUACAUACUUUAAAUGCAUCCAUAUAAGCACAAGCAUGUAGCUUUUAACACAUAUGGAUGCAAGUACUUUAAAUACAUCCACACAGAUGCACACACAUGCACAUUUCACAAACAUACAAUUACAUGCGUAUACCUCUAAAGAGACCCAACCAUGUGUGUGCAUGCACGAACACAUACACACAUUGGGAUACAUGCAUAUGUGUGUGUGCUGAUACAUCUCAAUCAUAUGCACAUGCAUAUACCUCACAAACACAUGCAUGCAUUGGUACAUAUAUGUGUGUGUAGCUCAAGUGAGACCCAAUCAUACACAUAAAAAUCUUUAAGGUGCCCAAACAUGUAUUGACACAUAUUAAUCACACCCUCAUAGUCACUCAUAUGUGCCCAGUACAUGCAUAUUCUUCUGCAGGGGUGCCUUUCAAGGCAAUGCUGAUACUCUUUGGGUAGCCAGUGUCCACUCUCAGUGUCUCCCCAAGGAUGGGGUGGGGUGCUUGGGAGUCUGAAUCCCUACUGAUCUUUUUUUUUUUUUUUUUUGAGACAGGGUUUCUCUGUAUAGCCCUGGCUGUCCUGGAACUCACUCUGUAGACCAGGCUGGCCUCGAACUCAGAAAUCUGCCAGCCUCUGCCUCCUGAGUGCUGGGAUUAAAGGCAUGCGCCACCACUGCCUGGCUCCCUACUGACUUUUGCAAUAAAUGUAUCAACAUUGGGUUUCACUCCCCCACCCCAUGUGAUUCUUUGCUGAGAAGGUGAGUGACAGAUGCCUUACUCCAAGUUCCCUGUGGUUCCAGCAGGACCAGUUGUGCUGGGCUCUCUGGGUCCAUCCCUGCAGCUUAUCUUUGGUACUUUGCGGGUUCUUUUCUCUUCUACCCUUCCCUACCCAUUUUCUUUCAUCUUUUCAACCCCCUAACACUAGAUGGGAGAGAAAAAGGAUAGAGAAGAAAGGAAAGAGAACCCCAAAUAAAGCCGGGGAUUGGAUAUGGAAAGACGUUAUUGUUAGACUACUUCCUGCUGAUUAGGGGUGUUGAGUUCCUUAGGGCAAAUUUGAUCUUUGCAGUUAGAAUAUCUAAUUUCUCCUUUUUGCUGCUUCUUCUUUGCAUCUGACUACUUAACAAACUACAACCAACAUCAACCAACAACACCCAGCAAGCAACCAACCAACCCUUGCCUCUCAGGGCCCUAGCAUUUAUAUACCCUGAAAUUCCAAACCUUAUACAGUUGCAGAAACUAUCUGUAGCUGGCACAAUGAUGCCCUGGCUAGAGCUGGAGGCAAAUAGUCAGCUGCUAUGGACCAUCUGAAGCAGCC